RNAcentral lists this ribosomal RNA (430 nucleotides) under uncultured bacterium. RNAcentral describes it as "bacterial SSU rRNA". It matches the Rfam family "Bacterial small subunit ribosomal RNA", at positions 355 to 776 of the family's 1533-position model. The record is from RNAcentral.
CAGGGAAUAUUGCGCAAUGGGCGAAAGCCUGACGCAGCGAUGCCGCGUGAGUGAGGAAGGCCUUCGGGUUGUAAAGCUCUGUCAAGGUGGAAAAAUGGAUAUGAUUCUAAUAGGGUUAUAUUUUGAUGGUACACCUAAAGGAAGCACCGGCUAACUUCGUGCCAGCAGCCGCGGUAAUACGAAGGGUGCGAGCGUUGUUCGGAAUUAUUGGGCGUAAAGAGCGUGUAGGCGGAUUAAUAAGUCAGGUGUGAAAUCUCGGGGCUCAACUCCGAAACUGCGCCUGAAACUGUAAAUCUAGAAUAUUGGAGGGGGAAGUGGAAUUUCGCGUGUAGGAGUAAAAUCCGUAGAUAUGCGAAGGAACACCUGAGGCGAAGGCGACUUCCUGGCCAGUUAUUGACGCUAAGGCGCGAAAGCGUGGGGAGCAAACAGG